RNAcentral lists this ribosomal RNA (511 nucleotides) under uncultured bacterium. RNAcentral describes it as "partial 16S ribosomal RNA". It matches the Rfam family "Bacterial small subunit ribosomal RNA", at positions 28 to 507 of the family's 1533-position model. The record is from RNAcentral.
GACAAACGCUGGCGGCAUGCCUAACACAUGCAAGUCGAACGGACAGAACAGGGAAGCUUUUCGGAGUGGAACUGGAAAGUUAGUGGCGGAUGGGUGAGUAACGCGUGGACAACCUACCUUGUAAAGGGGAAUAACCUCGAGAAAUCGAAGCUAAUACCCCAUAAUAACCUUGCUUCGCAUGAAGUAAGGAGGAAAGGCGGCCUUAGCGCUGUCGAUACAAGAUGGGUCCGCGUCUGAUUAGCUAGUUGGUGAGGUAAAGGCUCACCAAGGCGACGAUCAGUAGCCGGCCUGAGAGGGUGAACGGCCACAUUGGGACUGAGACACGGCCCAAACUCCUACGGGAGGCAGCAGUGGGGAAUCUUCCGCAAUGGGCGAAAGCCUGACGGAGCAAUGCCGCGUGAGUGAAGAAGGCCUUCGGGUUGUAAAACUCUGUCCUUAUCGAAGAGAGAGUGUUGUAGUAACUGACAAUACUAGGACGGUAGAUGAGGAGGAAGCCCCGGCUAACUAUGCG